RNAcentral lists this ribosomal RNA (250 nucleotides) under uncultured bacterium. Its description in RNAcentral is "partial 16S ribosomal RNA". It matches the Rfam family "Bacterial small subunit ribosomal RNA", at positions 524 to 773 of the family's 1533-position model. The record is from RNAcentral.
UACAGAGGUCCCAAGCGUUGUUCGGAUUCAUUGGGCGUAAAGGGUGCGUAGGCGGUAGGGUAAGUCUGGUGUGAAAUCCCGGGGCUCAACCCCGGAACUGCACUGGAUACUGCUUUACUAGAGUACUGGAGAGGGAACUGGAAUUUACGGUGUAGCAGUGAAAUGCGUAGAGAUCGUAAGGAAGACCAGUGGCGAAGGCGAGUUCCUGGACAGUUACUGACGCUGAGGCACGAAGGCCAGGGGAGCAAAC